GACGCUGGCGGCGUGCUUAACACAUGCAAGUCGAGCGGAAAGGCCCUUUCGGGGGGUACUUGAGCGGCGAACGGGUGAGUAACACGUGAGUAAUCUGCCCUUGGCUUUGGGAUAACCACCGGAAACGGUGGCUAAUACCGGAUAUGACGGGCUCCGGCAGUCGGGUUCGUGGAAAGUUUUUUCGGCCAGGGAUGUGCUCGCGGCCUAUCAGCUUGUUGGUGGGGUAAUGGCCUACCAAGGCUUCGACGGGUAGCCGGCCUGAGAGGGUGACCGGCCACACUGGGACUGAGACACGGCCCAGACUCCUACGGGAGGCAGCAGUGGGGAAUAUUGGACAAUGGGCGGAAGCCUGAUCCAGCAACGCCGCGUGAGGGAUGACGGCCUUCGGGUUGUAAACCUCUUUCAGUACCGACGAAGCGCCGAUGAUGGUGGUGACGGUAGGUACAGAAGAAGCACCGGCCAACUACGUG
Molecule: ribosomal RNA, 470 nt
Filed under: uncultured bacterium
Lineage: Bacteria
Description: bacterial SSU rRNA
Rfam family: Bacterial small subunit ribosomal RNA
Source: RNAcentral